CCAAAGGCUCUUUUAAGAGCCCAUCACCGUCUGCGAAGAGCUCAGU
This is a non-coding RNA of Takifugu rubripes (torafugu), 46 nucleotides long. Lineage: Eukaryota; Metazoa; Chordata; Actinopteri; Tetraodontiformes; Tetraodontidae. The record is from Rfam.